Molecule: unclassified non-coding RNA, 632 nt
Filed under: Hevea brasiliensis (rubber tree)
Lineage: Eukaryota; Viridiplantae; Streptophyta; Magnoliopsida; Malpighiales; Euphorbiaceae
Source: RNAcentral
GUUCCAUCGGUACUGAUUCCACCAAAGCGAAGGCUGCUGCUGCCUCUGUGUUUGCAAUCAUAGACAGGAAGUCAAAAAUAGACCCUAGUGAUGAGUCAGGAACAACAAUAGAAAAUGUAAGAGGAGAAAUUGAGCUUCAUCAUGUAAGCUUUAAGUAUCCAUCUAGGCCAGAUAUUCAGAUUUUCCGGGACCUCAGCUUAACUAUUCGUUCUGGGAAGACUGUUGCCCUGGUUGGAGAAAGUGGGAGUGGUAAAUCUACAGUAAUUGCAUUGUUGCAGAGAUUUUAUGAUCCGGAUUCAGGUCACAUCACACUUGAUGGAAUUGAAAUUCAGAAGUUGCAAUUGAGGUGGUUAAGGCAGCAGAUGGGGCUCGUCAGCCAAGAGCCUGUUUUAUUCAAUGACACAAUCCGUGCCAACAUUGCGUAUGGAAAGGAAGGAGAUGCAACCGAAGCAGAAAUUAUAGCUGCAGCAGAAUUGGCCAAUGCCCACAAAUUCAUAAGUGGUUUACAACAGGGGUAUGAAGCCGCAGUAGGGGAGCGAGGAGUCCAGCUGUCUGGAGGACAGAAGCAAAGGGUAGCCAUAGCUCGUGCCAUAGUCAAGAGUCCAAAGAUACUGCUAUUAGAUGAGGCCACG